GACGAACGCUGGCGGCGUGCCUAAUACAUGCAAGUAGAACGCACAGUUUAUACCGUAGCUUGCUACACCAUAGACUGUGAGUUGCGAACGGGUGAGUAACGCGUAGGUAACCUGCCUGGUAGCGGGGGAUAACUAUUGGAAACGAUAGCUAAUACCGCAUAAUAUUGAUUAUUGCAUGAUAAUUAAUUGAAAGGUGCAAUUGCACCACUACCAGAUGGACCUGCGUUGUAUUAGCUAGUAGGUGAGGUAACGGCUCACCUAGGCGACGAUACAUAGCCGACCUGAGAGGGUGAUCGGCCACACUGGGACUGAGACACGGCCCAGACUCCUACGGGAGGCAGCAGUAGGGAAUCUUCGGCAAUGGACGAAAGUCUGACCGAGCAACGCCGCGGGAGUGAAGAAGGUUGUCGGAUCGUAAAGCUCUGUUGUAAGAGAAGAACGGGUGUGAGAGUGGAAAGUUCACACUGUGACGGUAUCUUACCAGAAAGGGACGGCUAACUACGUG
RNAcentral lists this ribosomal RNA (505 nucleotides) under uncultured bacterium. RNAcentral describes it as "partial 16S ribosomal RNA". It matches the Rfam family "Bacterial small subunit ribosomal RNA", at positions 28 to 507 of the family's 1533-position model. The record is from RNAcentral.